RNAcentral lists this transfer RNA (71 nucleotides) under Camelus bactrianus (Bactrian camel). It matches the Rfam family "tRNA". From Rfam's summary of the family: Transfer RNA (tRNA) molecules are approximately 80 nucleotides in length. Their secondary structure includes four short double-helical elements and three loops (D, anti-codon, and T loops). RNAcentral also lists the same sequence under 1 other name. The record is from Rfam by way of RNAcentral. Lineage: Eukaryota; Metazoa; Chordata; Mammalia; Artiodactyla; Camelidae.
GAGGGUAUAGCUCAGUGGUAAAGCACGUGUUAGCAUGCAUGAGGUCCUGGGUUCAAUCCCCAGUACCUCCA